This is an RNA transcript of Mus musculus (house mouse), 564 nucleotides long. It is a transcript of the gene named cytochrome P450, family 4, subfamily b, polypeptide 1, pseudogene 2, with no coding region annotated. NCBI's taxonomy places the organism in Eukaryota, Metazoa, Chordata, Mammalia, Rodentia, Muridae. The transcript is spliced from 3 exons. The record is from RefSeq and is marked validated.
CACAUCUAUGCCCUCCAUAGGAACAGUGCUGUGUGGCCUGACCCAGAGGUCUUUGACCCACUGCGCUUUUCUCCUGAGAAUAUGACAGGACGGCAUCCCUUUGCCUUCAUGCCUUUUUCUGCAGGGCCCAGGAAUUGCAUUGGGCAGCAGUUUGCCAUGAACAAGAUGAAGGUGGUCAACAGCUCUCUGUUUGCUGUGCUUUGAAAUCUCUCAGGAUCCCUUAAAGAUCCCCAUUAAGGUCCCCCAGUUGAUCUUGGGCUCCAAAAAUGGCAUCCACCUCUACCUGAAGCCACUGGGCCCUGGGUCUGGAAAGUAGGUCUUAGGAGAGCAAGAAUAUGGAGUCAUUGUGGAUCCCUGCCUGUGGGGGGCUUGUGAGAUAAAAGCAUGCACAUUGAGAGUAUCCUGGAAGACAUUCUCUUGUAAACAUGUGUGUGGAAUGAUUCAAUGCCUGGUCUCUAGAACUCAUUCCUUCACUCCAAAAACAUUUGCUGCCUUGAGAAACUUAAUUUAUUAUAACUGCAUUUAUUUAGCCAUCUCAGUGUGCAUUUGGGAUAUAAUAGACAU